RNAcentral lists this ribosomal RNA (720 nucleotides) under uncultured eukaryote. RNAcentral describes it as "SSU rRNA". It matches the Rfam family "Eukaryotic small subunit ribosomal RNA", at positions 598 to 1325 of the family's 1831-position model. The record is from RNAcentral.
CGUAUAUUAAGUUGUUGCAGUUAAAAGCUCGUAGUUGAACUUCGGGCCUGGCUGACCGGUCCGCCUCACCGCGUGCACUGGUCCGGCCGGGUCUUUCCUUCUGGCAAACCUCAUGCCCUUCACUGGGUGUGUUGGGGAACCAGGACUUUUACUUUGAAAAAAUUAGAGUGUUCAAAGCAGGCAUAUGCUCGAAUACAUUAGCAUGGAAUAAUAGAAUAGGACGUGCGGUUCUAUUUUGUUGGUUUCUAGGACCGCCGUAAUGAUUAAUAGGGAUAGUCGGGGGCAUCCGUAUUCAAUUGUCAGAGGUGAAAUUCUUGGAUUUAUUGAAGACAAACUACUGCGAAAGCAUUUGCCAAGGAUGUUUUCAUUAAUCAGGAACGAAAGUUGAGGGAUCGAAGACGAUCAGAUACCGUCGUAGUCUCAACCAUAAACUAUGCCGACUAGGGAUCGGGCGAUGUUUUUUUUAUGACUCGCUCGGAACCUUACAAGAAAUCAAAGUCUUUGGGUUCUGGGGGGAGUAUGGUCGCAAGGCUGAAACUUAAAGGAAUUGACGGAAGGGCACCACCAGGAGUGGAGCCUGCGGCUUAAUUUGACUCAACACGGGGAAACUCACCAGGUCCAGACACAUUAAGGAUUGACAGAUUGAGAGCUCUUUCUUGAUCAUGUGGGUGGUGGUGCAUGGCCGUUCUUAGUUGGUGGAGUGAUUUGUCUGCUUAAUUG